Molecule: transfer RNA, 83 nt
Filed under: Neoconidiobolus thromboides
Lineage: Eukaryota; Fungi; Entomophthoromycota; Entomophthoromycetes; Entomophthorales; Neoconidiobolaceae
Description: Conidiobolus thromboides tRNA-Ser
Rfam family: tRNA
About the family: Transfer RNA (tRNA) molecules are approximately 80 nucleotides in length. Their secondary structure includes four short double-helical elements and three loops (D, anti-codon, and T loops). Further hydrogen bonds mediate the characteristic L-shaped molecular structure. tRNAs have two regions of fundamental functional importance: the anti-codon, which is responsible for specific mRNA codon recognition, and the 3' end, to which the tRNAs corresponding amino acid is attached (by aminoacyl-tRNA synthetases). tRNAs cope with the degeneracy of the genetic code in two manners: having more than one tRNA (with a specific anti-codon) for a particular amino acid; and 'wobble' base-pairing, i.e. permitting non-standard base-pairing at the 3rd anti-codon position.
Source: RNAcentral
GGAAAAAUAGCCUAAAGGUAAGGCAGAAGCUUGCUAAGUUUUGGAUUAAAAAAUCUUUAAAGGUUCGAGUCCUUUUUUUUCCA